UCCUCGUUUAAGCGAGGCAGUCUGUCCAGAGUGCUCCAAACUCUCGUUCGGAUCGCAACAGGACAUAAGGGUUGCGCUCGUUGCGGGACUUAACCCAACAUCUCACGACACGAGCUGACGACAGCCAUGCAGCACCUGUGCACGCUGGUAUUGCUACCUCGUCGGGCUUUCACCCUUCUACUACGUGCAUGUCAAGGCCAGGUAAGGUUCUUCGCGUUGCAUCGAAUUAAGCCACAUACUCCACCGCUUGUGCAGGCCCCCGUCAAUUUCUUUGAGUUUUAAUCUUGCGACCGUACUUCCCAGGCGGCGUAUUUAUCGCGUUGGCUUCGCCACAAAAGGGGUCGAUUCCUUUUACAGCAAAUACGCACCGUUUACAGCUAGGACUAC
Molecule: unclassified non-coding RNA, 387 nt
Filed under: uncultured Verrucomicrobiae bacterium
Lineage: Bacteria; Pseudomonadati; Verrucomicrobiota; Verrucomicrobiia
Description: contains 16S-23S intergenic spacer region
Source: RNAcentral